GACGAACGCUGGCGGCGUGCUUAACACAUGCAAGUCGAACGGAAAGGCCCUGCUUUUGUGGGGUGCUUGAGUGGCGAACUGGUGAGUAACACGUGAGUAACCUGCCCUUGACGUUGUGAUAACUUCAGGAAACUGGGGCUAAUACCGGAUAGGAGCUCCUGCUGCACGGUGGGGGUUGGAAAGUUUCGGCGGUUGGGGAUGGACUCGCGGCUUAUCAGCUUGUUGGUGGGGUAGUGGCUUACCAAGGCUUUGACGGGUACCAGGUCUGAGAGGGUGACCGGCCACAUUGGUCCCGAGGUACGGACCAGAACACUACGGGGAGCAGAAGUGGAGAAUAUUGCAAGAUAGCAGGACCCCUGAUCUCGCAGCCUCGCGUGCGGAAUAACGGGCUUCGGUGGCUCAACCGCCUUCGCCUGUGCCGAAGCGUGAGUGACGGUACCGGGUCAAGAACCACCGGCUCACUACGUG
RNAcentral lists this ribosomal RNA (468 nucleotides) under uncultured bacterium. RNAcentral's name for it is "partial 16S ribosomal RNA". It matches the Rfam family "Bacterial small subunit ribosomal RNA", at positions 28 to 507 of the family's 1533-position model. The record is from RNAcentral.